AGGGUGAGAGAGGUAUCAUUGGACCUGAAGGCAGUCAAGGAGCUAUCGGUGAAAGGGGCAGUCCCGGUGAUGCAGGACCGAGAGGCGGUGACGGCUCACCGGGUCAAUAUGGAGCACCAGGAAUUCGCGGAAGCCCUGGAGACAAGGGAAAACCGGUAAGUCUGUGACAUCAGCUUAGCUCCUUGUAUGUCCUCCUCCUUGAAAUGUUUUAAACUUUUUUAUUAUGCUAUAUUUGUUUGCCCGAAAGUAGCGCCCUCCGAACAUAACAAGGUCGGAAUUCGUUACUUGCGAAACAUUUUAAAUCACGCUCAUAUUAUAUGUACCUCUGGUC
Orbicella faveolata is the source of this 331-nucleotide long non-coding RNA. Lineage: Eukaryota; Metazoa; Cnidaria; Anthozoa; Scleractinia; Merulinidae. The record is from RefSeq and is a predicted model, not a curated record.